GAGUUUGAUCGUGGCUCAGAACGAACGCUGGCGGCAGGCUUAACACAUGCAAGUCGAACGGACGUAGCAAUACGUUAGUGGCGCACGGGUGAGUAACGCGUGGAUAUCUGCCUUUUGGUUCGGGAUAACCUUGGGAAACUAGGGCUAAUACCGAAUGGUUCCUACGGGAUAAAGAUUUAUCGCCAAAAGAUGAGUCCGCGUCCGAUUAGCUAGUUGGUGGGGUAACGGCCCACCAAGGCGACGAUCGGUAGCUGGUCUGAGAGGACGAUCAGCCACACUGGGACUGAGACACGGCCCAGACUCCUACGGGAGGCAGCAGUGGGGAAUAUUGGACAAUGGGGGGCAACCUCGAUCCAGCCACUGCCGCCGUGAGUGAUGAAGG
This 382-nucleotide ribosomal RNA is filed under the name uncultured Alphaproteobacteria bacterium. RNAcentral's name for it is "bacterial SSU rRNA". It matches the Rfam family "Bacterial small subunit ribosomal RNA", at positions 9 to 414 of the family's 1533-position model. The record is from RNAcentral. Lineage: Bacteria; Pseudomonadati; Pseudomonadota; Alphaproteobacteria.